Molecule: unclassified non-coding RNA, 309 nt
Filed under: plant metagenome
Description: partial contains 5.8S ribosomal RNA, internal transcribed spacer 2, and large subunit ribosomal RNA
Rfam family: 5.8S ribosomal RNA (bases 1-104)
Source: RNAcentral
AAAUGCGAUAAGUAGUGUGAAUUGCAGAAUUCAGUGAAUCAUCGAAUCCUUGAACGCACAUUGCGCCCCUUGGUAUUCCAUGGGGCAUGCCUGUUCGAGCGUCAUUUGUACCCUCAAGCUCUGCUUGGUGUUGGGUGUUUGUCCCCGUCUCCGCGCGUGGACUCGCCCCAAAGUGAUUGGCAGCCGGCGUACUGGUCCCGGAGCGCAGCACAUGUCGCGCAAACGAGUGCCUUGGUACGGCGGCGUCCAUAAGCCCCUCUCUCACGCUCUUGACCUCGGAUCAGGUAGGGAUACCCGCUGAACUUAAGC